AAAAGCCCAGUGGUCAGAAACCAACCUGCUCUCAUUUGGAAGACUGGAAGAGAUCCUCUCAGGCCCAACUCAUAAUUCACACGGGGAAUCUGCCUCCACGCUAUUAGGAUCAGGAGGUUUAAACUGGUGCCUGAGCUUCUGUGCAAGGAAGAGGAAGGAGGGAAGAUCUGCUGCUUGGCAGGUCUUUUAAGACAAAAUAUGUCAUUCAGCAAAGAAUUCUAGAGAAGGCCACUGACUGAUUGCUAAAUUCUGGUGGAUCCAUAGCCGUUCUUCUUUCAAGGAAUUUGUCUAGCCUCAAAGCCCUGCGCUAAAGCCUCUGCUGCUGCGCUGCCGUGCCUCCCAGCUGAUUUGCGGUGGCGCGAUCACGUCUAUUUCCACCCCAUGUGCUAAAGCCUCUGCUGCUGUGCUGCUGCGCCUCUCAGCUGAUCGCGAUCGCGCCUCCCAGCUGAUUUGUGACUACCACUGAAUCCCACCCACAGCUACACCCUCCCCUUGGUUUUUGCACCAGGGUUGUAUCGCCCGCCCCCCGUCAGAGCAAGCUCCACAAGUUUUGUCGGUGGGUGUUGGAGAAAAUUCCGUUAGAGAAAAAUGCCUUCCUAGAAAUGAGUCUCAAGACCUUGAUCAUGGUCGCAAUGUGGAUUCGGUGUUUGUGCAUGUGUAACCCUGGUUAAAAAUUAUUGGUGAUGACGCCGAGCGCUUGGGGAAACAAAAUCUGGUUUUAGUUUGCCCAAUAAGUGUCUUGAACAGGCAACAGCAGGUUUAAAAAUAGUAUUGCAAUCACAGAAAUAUAGAAAGCUGCCUUAUACUGAGUCAACAGGAGAAAAAAGGAGGGGGAACCCCAAGAUGCUGAAGGAAAGGAUUUCUUGAAUGGAAAAUCCAAAUAGAUUUUAUUAAAAAGAACGAAGCCCAACACGUUUCGGCCACUCGAGACUUGGCCUUCGUCAGGGGCUAUAAGUAAAAUCAUACAAUAUAUCUUUUAGUGGCAUAAUCAUAUCAUACAGUAUAUGACCAUACAUGGCAAUGAGAACAAAAUGAAUACUUACAUAAUAAAUCUAAAAGGUCUAUCUUCAGCUGUUUCCUAUGCAAAAAUGUGCAUGGAAUAUCUACACCGAUUCUGUGCAAUAGAAAACUGACCGUGUAGCAGCAGAAACUGAGAGUGUGAAACUUAUACACUCGCUCGAAUGCCUAUUAGCAGUGAGACAGCGGAAUUUAACACAGUUGUGUCCAAGGGAUCAUCUCUGUAGUGUGAGAACUUAUAAAAGGGGAUUUUAGAAUUAAAAACGCUUGUUCCCGAUGGCCUUAAUAAGGAGAGAGUUCCUUCCCCUUUUAUCGUCCACAGCAUUCGAGCGAGUGUAUAAGUUUCACAGUUAAGUUUUCUUGGUGAUACACAAAAGAGUCAGAGAGAAUUGAGAGAUCACAGUGUUAAACAGAAAAAUAAUUCAGACCCCUGUUGGACUUUUUUCUGUCAGUGGUCUCAUAAUUUGUUGAAAUUAAUUAAAAAUCAGACAUAUUCAGUGAGUACCUGUAAUCUUAUUACUGACCUUGCCCCAUACUCUGACCUUCAUCUUCUGCAGUUUAAAAGUUAAACAAAAUGCCUGACUGAUUUUUAAUUAAUUUAAGAAAUUUAACAUUGGAGUCCAUGAGAGUGCAGGCAUGCUCAAUAAGAACCAACUGUGUUCUAAAAGCCAGACUCACAGCUGUUUGGCCACACUCAUGCCAGACCUUUAUUCCACUUUAGACAAUCAUGGCUUCCCCCAAAGAAUCCUAGGGAGUGUAGUUUGCGAAUGGUGCUGAGAGUUGUUUAGGAGACUCCUGUUCCCCUGACAGAGCUCCAGUAGCCAGAGUGGUUGAACAGUCAGCCCCUCUUCUGGGGAUUGUAGCUCUAUGAGGGGAUAAAACAGCGGGAGAUGAAAUAUAUUCUAGCAAAUUUCUUGGUGUGCUCCAUGUUUUUAAUUGAACACGUCCACCUUUCCUUAAGUGAAGUGGUCUAAGCAUAGCAGACUGAAAACAUGCAUCUUGGGCAGGCCAAGUUUGUUUUUUCUAACAGCUAGCUUCAUUGCUUAAGUAGCAACAUAUUGUAAGUCUGAUUUUACAUCAAACUGCAGUUUCAGAUUCAACUGUUAAUGCACCCAAAAUAGAAAUAGAACAUAACCUCCAGUUUGAAACACAAAAGGCUGUCUUCACCAGCAUAUGACAUUGACCAAUAAAAAGGCUUUGAAAUUAAUAAAAAUAAAUUUGACUUACUAGAUUACUAGGAUGAAAAAUGAAAUAUAAUUUUCUAGGUUAGAUUCUGUAGAAACAGUAGUAACAUAGGAAAGAAGCAAAGAAGAGCACUAACAAACAUACAAAAAUGUGAUUCUCCAUCUCUGGCGAUGGCAGGUGUUGCCACCACUCACCAUAUGCUCAGAGGCACAUGUUACCAAAUUAUUCCAAGCUACACAGGAAGUGGAUUGAACUGUGAAAGACCAACCCAAAUUGUGUUUGCAUGUUUACAAAUUUGUAGGGCAAUACAAUAUCUCAGAGAGGAGGUCGGGUCUCCUGCUCCCCUGGUGCAUUCCCUAUAGCUGCCCAAUUUCCCUGCUUUUUAAAGUUUGAUAGGAAUAUCUGUUGGCUAUAGAUACAUUCUUAAACUGCAAGGGUUUUUUGCCUAUUAGUGAAUUAACAAACUACAGUUUCCAGGAAUCUCCAUGACUAUUAAAAUGAUAUAAGCACACUUUACAUGUAUGGUGUGUACACAGCUCACCAUGUAAUUCUUCUGAAUGUGUAGCUUGGUGCACUUAAUUGUAACUGAAUUAAUCCACAUCUUCUUCUUCUACUCCUAUUCCUCUUU
This is a long non-coding RNA of Rhineura floridana, 2830 nucleotides long. RefSeq lists it as uncharacterized. The transcript has 3 exons. Lineage: Eukaryota; Metazoa; Chordata; Lepidosauria; Squamata; Rhineuridae. The record is from RefSeq and is a predicted model, not a curated record.